RNAcentral lists this ribosomal RNA (253 nucleotides) under uncultured bacterium. RNAcentral's name for it is "partial 16S ribosomal RNA". It matches the Rfam family "Bacterial small subunit ribosomal RNA", at positions 524 to 776 of the family's 1533-position model. The record is from RNAcentral.
UACGGAGGGGGCUAGCGUUGUUCGGAAUCACUGGGCGUAAAGCGCACGUAGGCGGCAUGUUUAGUCAGGGGUGAAAGGCCCGGGCUCAACCCGGGAACGGCCUUUGAUACUGGCAUGCUUGAGUCCGAGAGGGGGUGGUGGAACUCCCAGUGUAGAGGUGAAAUUCGUAGAUAUUGGGAAGAACACCGGUGGCGAAGGCGACCACCUGGCUCGGAACUGACGCUGAGGUGCGAAAGCGUGGGGAGCAAACAGG